GUAACAAGGUUUCCGUAGGUGAACCUGCGGAAGGAUCAUUACCGAGUGCGGGCCCCUCGGGGCCCAACCUCCCACCCGUGUUGCCCGAACCUAUGUUGCCUCGGCGGGCCCCGCGCCCGCCGACGGCCCCCCUGAACGCUGUCUGAAGUUGCAGUCUGAGACCUAUAACGAAAUUAGUUAAAACUUUCAACAACGGAUCUCUUGGUUCCGGCAUCGAUGAAGAACGCAGCGAAAUGCGAUAACUAAUGUGAAUUGCAGAAUUCAGUGAAUCAUCGAGUCUUUGAACGCACAUUGCGCCCUCUGGUAUUCCGGAGGGCAUGCCUGUCCGAGCGUCAUUGCUGCCCUCAAGCCCGGCUUGUGUGUUGGGCCCCGUCCCCCCCGCCGGGGGGACGGGCCCGAAAGGCAGCGGCGGCACCGCGUCCGGUCCUCGAGCGUAUGGGGCUUCGUCACCCGCUCUAGUAGGCCCGGCCGGCGCCAGCCGACCCCCAACCUUUAAUUAUCUCAGGUUGACCUCGGAUCAGGUAGGGAUACCCGCUGAACUUAAGCAUAUCAAUAAGCGGAGGAA
RNAcentral lists this unclassified non-coding RNA (565 nucleotides) under Penicillium citrinum. RNAcentral describes it as "partial contains ITS1, 5.8S rRNA and ITS2". The stretch from base 182 to 335 matches the Rfam family "5.8S ribosomal RNA". Lineage: Eukaryota; Fungi; Ascomycota; Eurotiomycetes; Eurotiales; Aspergillaceae. The record is from RNAcentral.